Long non-coding RNA from Panthera uncia (snow leopard), 2411 nucleotides. RefSeq lists it as uncharacterized. The transcript has 3 exons. The record is from RefSeq and is a predicted model, not a curated record. NCBI's taxonomy places the organism in Eukaryota, Metazoa, Chordata, Mammalia, Carnivora, Felidae.
UUUUCGCGGCCGGCAGGGGUGCUGGGAGAGAUCUUGCGGAGGGGACACUCCUGGGGGCGGUAGGAGCGAAAGGGACGUCCGCAGAGGAGACGACUGGCGUUUGACGCCUUGCAAGAAGAGAGGGGAAAACCAAGUUCCCAGAGAGGGUCACGAUUGGUCGCGCUUCUUGUGACGUCCAAUGGCAGAGGCCAAAGGGAUUCCGAGGGCAGUCUCGCGGGAAAGAGGCGAGGCAGCCUGACGUCCGUUACCCAAAGUAUAGCUCUGGUCGCCUCUGAAAUUGUCUUAGUUUUUCUUUUUGACCUCUUUGUCCCCUAAUCCUCUUCCAAUAUGAUGUAAGGCCAGGGACUUUAAUUCCUUGUAACCCCAUGGCCUCCCACAUAGUAGGCGCUCAAGUAUUCACCGAAAUAAUAAUACUCCGAGCUGACCUCGCAUAUGAAAAUAAGGAAACCGCAGGUGACAGACAACAGCUAAACAUUUGUUAGACAUUUACGAUGUGCCAGGUUCUUGCUGGGCUCUUUCUCCCUGUGGUUUGCUGAACCAAUCACCUAACCCAAAGCCUCAAGCUUUUAAUCAGCAAAAAUGUUUUGCAGGAGGGGCACCUGGGUGGCUCAGUUGGUUGAGCGUCCAACUUCAGCCCAGGUCAUGAUCUCCCGGCUUGUGAGUUCAAGCUCCACAUCGGACUCCCUGCUGUCAGCGCAGAGCCUGCUUCAGAUCCUUUGUCCCUCUCUCUCUGUCCCUCCCACGCUUGCACUGUUUCAAAAAUAAAACAUUAAAAAAGAAAUAAGAUACUUAUGUUCCAAAUAUUUUAGUUGUCAAAAAUAUAUUUGAGCACAAAUAAAAUUAAGGAGCUUCAAAGUGAAUGUAACAAUUUAAAGAAUACUUCACAUUUUGACCUGUGUUUUUGUAGGUAUUUAAAACCCCGGUUUUGCUUUGAAUUUCAAAUAACUACCUUCAGUACCACAAGAAUAAUGACUAUAGUUUUAUUGUCACUUCUAUUCCUUUUAUGAUCAGAUCAUAAUUAAGAUGCGUUUGCAUACUUAAACUACUCAUCUCAUAGGUCACCUCUUCAUGAGCUCCUUGAAACAGUGUUUCAUUUUUGGGUUCUCUCCUGUCACCCAACUUCUAGAACACAUUAUUUUUUUGCGUUAGGGGCUGUUUAGAUGGGUAUUUCUUCCACAUGUUCUACUAACUCAGGGUUUCUCAAAAUUGAGAGAGUAUUAGAGUGACCUGGAGAGCUUAUGAAAAACAGUUUGCUGGGCCCUGUCCUGCAGUUUCUGAUUUAGGAAUUUUGGAGUAGGGACCCAAGAAUUUGCAUUUGCAGGUUUGGAGAUGAUGUGGGUACCGUUGAGUAUCGACCAUACUUUAUAAACCAUCGCACUAAAUUAAGCUGCUUGAGGGUGGGGGCUGUGCCUUUUUCAUUCCAGGAUCCCCUGCAGCUUCUACCAUAGUACCUGGCACAUAGGAGUUGCUCAAGAAAUAGCUGACUUGAACAAUAGUUCAAAAAGUUUGUUGUACUGAAUCUAGAUUAUAGGUAUAUGAAUGUAUGUGCAUGUAUCCUUAAAUGAGCUGAUACAUAGUAUAGUGAGCUCUGUCUGCUAAAAUUAAAAAAAAAAUCAUUAUUGUAACCUUUCUUUGCUUAACUUCAUCUUCUAAAAUGAUACCCAAACAUUCGAGAGGUGUACGCAGCAAGUCUGCUUAUAAAUGAGAGCGACAGAAUCUUUGCAGUAAGAGCCUCUUUUAAAAAUAACGUAAUUUAUUAAUAUUGAGCAUCAGGAAUUAAAAAAAACUUUUUUUAAUGUUUAUUUUUAAGAGAGAGAGAGAGAGAGAGAGAGACAGAGCAUGAGCGGAGGAGGGGCAGAGACGGAGGGAGACACAGAAUCCGAAGCAGGCUCCAGGCUCUGAGCGGUCAGCACAGAGCCUGAGGCAGGUCUUGAACCCAGCCCUGAGCAUCAGGGAUUUUCAAAAUUGGUUGAGUGCUUCCCACAUGCAGACAGACACAGCAAGAACAUGGUAGCCACAUUAGUUGCCCUCAGGAGCUUAUAGCCAGUGAGGAAGUAAGGAACCGAGAGGAAGUGUGAGGAGGUGUAAUAGGGGAUAUUAAAUUUGGGGAGUAGCUGGGAACUAUGAAAGGAGUCAGUUGUAUCUAUUCAACUCUUAAUCGUCAUUAAUCUGUUAGAAUUCAUCUUUUGUAUAUUCUAUGAAAUACGCCUAACGUGUUUGGUAUGGGCCCUAGGGAUAUUUACUAAAUAUUAAUAAAUGAGGUUAAUAAUUCCUUUGCAAAACUUACGACUUUGAUAUUUCUUCUUCAGUGUAACCAAUCAAAGCAACAUGAGGAAUUUAGAAUUAGUCUGAUGCAGAUACUUGCAUACUUAUGAAACAGCUAUUUAUAUCCAGGUAUCUGUCAUAUGUGA